UAGCAUAUGCUUGUCUCAAAGAUUAAGCCAUGCAUGUCUCAGUGUAAACACAAGUAUUGUGAAACUGCGAAUGGCUCAUUAUAUCAGUGAUAAUCUCUUUGAUCGUGCGCGGCACAUGGAUAACUGUGCUAACCGUAGAGCUAAUACAUGCCCAGAUCUCUUAUGUCCUUGCGUCAUGAGAGAGCAUUUAUUAGAUUCGAGCCAACCCAAUUUAUUUUGGUGCGGAUGAGUCAUAAUAACUUUGCGAAUCACAGAGCCCCUUUUCGGGGCGGUGAUGCAUCAUUCGAAUCUCUGCCCUAUCAGCUUUGGAUGGUAGUGUCGUGGACUACCAUGGCGAUAACGGGUAACGGAGAAUUAGGGUUCGAUUCCGGAGAGGGAGCCUGAGAAAUGGCUACCACAUCCAAGGAAGGCAGCAGGCGCGUAAAUUACCCAAUCCUGACUCAGGGAGGUAGUGACCAUAAAUAACGACGCUCGGCCAUUGGUCGUGCGAUCGGAAUGCGGGAAGUUUUAAGCCCUUCUCGAAAGCAACUGGAGGGCAAGUCUGGUGCCAGCAGCCGCGGUAAUACCAGCUCCAGUAGCGUAUAUUAAAGUUGUUGCAGUUAAAAAGCUCGUAGUUGGAUGUCGGAAAAGGCCUCUUGGUGUCCGGCACUCUCUGAGUGUCUUGUGACCCAGAGGAAUUUUUUUUAUUCUCAUUGAGAUUUUAUAUAAUCUUUUAUGAAGUGAAGAAAAAUCUUUUCCUUUGACUGGAAUCGGGUGUCUUUUGUGCAUUGAUUUGCACAAUACACCAGUUUCAACGGUUUCGGUCAUGUUACUGUGAAGAAAUCAGAGUGCUCAAAGCAGGCAAUUUUGCCGGAAUGGAUUAGCAUGGGAUAACCACCAUUGACCUCGUUCUUUGGUUAGUUGGUUCAAAAGAAUGAUGGCGCUUGAUUAAUAGGGACAGUUGGGGGCAUUCGUAUUCCGAAGUCAGAGGUGAAAUUCUUGGAUUUUCGGAAGACGAACAUAUGCGAAAGCAUUUGCCAAGGAUGUUUUCAUUAAUCAAGAACGAAAGUUCGGGGAUCGAAGACGAUCAGAUACCGUCGUAGUCCGAACCAUAAACGAUGCCGACUAGGGAUUGGAAGAUUCGCCUUACGCAAUCUUUCAGCACCUUCCGAGAAAUCAAAGUUUUUGGGUUCCGGGGGGAGUAUGGUCGCAAGGCUGAAACUUAAAGGAAUUGACGGAAGGGCACCACCAGGAGUGGAGCCUGCGGCUUAAUUUGACUCAACACGGGGAAACUUACCAGGUCCAGACAUAGGAAGGAUUGACAGAUUGACAGCUCUUUCUUGAUUCUAUGGGUGGUGGUGCAUGGCCGUUCUUAGUUGGUGGAGUGAUUUGUCUGGUUAAUUCCGAUAACGAACGAGACCUUCACCUCUAAAUAGUGUGGAGAAAUUCUUUUUUGAAUUUCUUUUUUUUUCUUCUUUUGGAGAUUCACACUUCUUAGAGGGACGAUGUGCGUUAGCACAAGGAAGUUGGAGGCAAUAACAGGUCUGUGAUGCCCUUAGAUGUCCUGGGCCGCACGCGUGCUACACUGACGGAUACAACAAGUUUGCUCUUUUACCUGGACUGAAAAGUUUGGGAAAUCUAGCAAUGUCCGUCGUGAUGGGGAUCGACCCUUGCAAUUUGGUCGUGAACGAGGAAUUCCUUGUAAGCGCGAGUCAUCAUCUCGCGUUGAAUACGUCCCUGCCCUUUGUACACACCGCCCGUCGCUCCUACCGAUGGAUGGUCCGGUGAAAUCUUCGGAUGUUCUUUUUUGUUGAUUUGUCUUUUUGGUGAAUUAGCAGGGAGCAGAAGUUGAUUAAACUUUAUCAUCUAGAGGAAGGAGAAGUCGUAACAAGGUUUCC
RNAcentral lists this ribosomal RNA (1877 nucleotides) under Stygiella cryptica. RNAcentral describes it as "SSU rRNA". It matches the Rfam family "Eukaryotic small subunit ribosomal RNA". Lineage: Eukaryota; Jakobea; Jakobida; Stygiellidae. The record is from RNAcentral.